This 1185-nucleotide long non-coding RNA is filed under the name Oryctolagus cuniculus (rabbit). RNAcentral's name for it is "lncRNA (ENSOCUG00000037287.1)". The record is from RNAcentral. Lineage: Eukaryota; Metazoa; Chordata; Mammalia; Lagomorpha; Leporidae.
AUGACUGGCAGCUGUCUCCCCACGCCACAGUCGAGCCGAGUGAGGCUCCCGGAGAGGCUCUUGGUGACGUGGCUGCUAACCCUCGCUUCCCGCCUUAGCCCAGCAGCUGUGUUCAGCAGAGGUGUUCACACACGGUGCACAGGGAGAGGUGUUCACACACGGUGCACAUGGAGAGGUGUUCACACACGGUGCACAGGGAGAGGUGUUCACACAUGGUGCACAGGGAGAGGUGUUCACACACUGCACGUGGAGAGGUGUUCACACACGGUGUACAUGGAGAGGUGUUCACACACGGUGCACAUGGAGAGGUGUUCACACACGGUGUACAUGGAGAGGUGUUCACACACGGUGCACAGGGAGAGGUGUUCACACAUGCUGCACAGGGAGAGGUGUUCACACACGGUACACAGGGAGAGGUGUUCACACACAGGGUGCACAGGGAGAGGUGUUCACACAUGCUGCACAUGGAGAGGUGUUCACACACGGUGCACAUGGAGAGGUGUUCACACGGUGCACAUGGAGAGGUGUUCACACACGGUGCACAUGGAGAGGUGUUCACACACAGUGCAUAGGGAGAGGUGUUCACACACGCUGCACAUGGAGAGGUGUUCACACACGGUGCACAGGGAGAGGGGUUCACACACGGUGUACAUGGAGAGGUGUUCACACAUGAUGCAUAUGGAGAGGUGUUCACAUGUGUACAUGGAGAGGUAUUCACACAUGAUGCAUAUGGAGAGGUGUUCACACACGAUACAUAUGGAGAGGUGUUCACAUGUGCACAUGGAGAGGUGUUCAUACGUGCACAUGGAGAGAUGUUCACACGUGUACAUGGAGAGGUGUUCACACACAAUACAUAUGGAGAGGUGUUCAUACAUGCACAUGGAGAGGUGUUCACACGGUGCACAGGGAGAGGUGUUCACACACGAUACAUAUGGAGAGGUGUUCACACGUGUACAUGGAGAGGUGUUCACACAUGGUGCAUGUGAAGAGGUGUUCACACACGAUACAUAUGGAGAGGUGUUCACAUGUGGUGCACAUGGAGAGGUGUUCACACUGCUCACACUCAGUACACAUGAAGAGGUGUUCACACGUGGUGCCGUGCCGAGGGAGUCACACCUGGCGCACGUUGCGAUUGUGAUUCCACGGCACAGACUGGCAGCAGUGGGCGUGAGGUUCUCCUGCUGA